AUUAGUAUUUAGCAGGCAAAGCGAUAAGCAUGUGUAUGAAGAGCCAAGUAUUGAGUAACCAGUAAUUCUCCGUAACCCUAAGAGGUUUGGUGACAAACCUACUUUUCCGAACUAACUUCUUCACAGUCGCAAGUGCCAUAUAGCUAUUCCUUUCUGACACUUUCUUUCACUAUAUAUAACUAAGCAUAUUGUCUACACAAAAGCGACACUUAUUAUUUUCUUUGUUUGCAUUGCUUUACUUUCAUCUUAUUUUUUGUUUUGUUUGUACGGAGGGAUAUUGUUUGAUUUGAUGGGUGACGUGGAGAUAGAGGAGGUGAGCGGCGGUGUUAAUGGAGGUGCAGAAGUGCAGCAGGGUGAGGAAGGGUUGGGGAGAGGGAGAGGGGAAGGAAAUAGGAUGUACUUGGUGUGGGAAGAACUGACGGUGGCGCUGCCCAACUUUGGGAAUGGACCGACCAGGAGAUUGCUGGAUGGAGUAACCGGGUGCGCUCAACCUGGUAGAAUCAUGGCCAUCAUGGGUCCUUCUAGCUCUGGCAAAUCCACUUUACUCAAUGCCUUAGCAAGUUUUCGCCUCUAUCCAUCCCCCAACUUAACCACCACAAUCCUCAAUAUUAUGGCUGCAUUUAUGAGUAGGGAAUACAAAUAUAAUAGACAAGCUUUUAACCAAAAAGCACAAUCAAUGACUGAAAAAUAUGCCAAGGCUGGAGCUGGAGAAAGCAGUUGUAGCUAUCAAUGCACUGAAACUAAAGUUGAUUCAACGAUGUGUGCUGAAGAAUCGAGACAAUAUGGAAUUUCUGGGGUGUUGUCUUAUGGGCUACUGAAUACAAUUUACUACCUCAUUACCUUUCUCUUGGUGUGAUCAAGAAGUGAAUCGAAGUGGAGUUGAUCUAGAAAAGGCUAAAAUUGCAGAUUAGCCCCUAAAGUAUCCGUUUUACAUAUUUUGAAUAGAUUUGCACAAAGGACAAAAAAUGGCUCGACAAACACUACUAGAAGCGCAAAACCAAGAAGCAAUUUGAAGUAUCGAGAUCGCGAACUGAAGAAAACAGAAUUAGAUCGGGGAAAGUCGAAAGUAAUCGAAUAGUCGAUCGUGUCUGCGGAUAUCCGAGGCUUGAUGCUGGUGAAGUAAUUCAGACUUUACGUCUAGCAGGCUUCAUGCCGGUGAUACAUUUCGGACUUUAAGCCUAGCAGGCUAAAUACCGGUGUACUGAAUCAGGCUUUAAGCCUAGCAGGCUAAAUGCCGGUGAAUCUGUUUUUAAGCAUGUGAUUAAGUGUACAACUAUAUGAUUUUGGAUAUAUUUAAUUGAUAAGUAUAUUUAUAUAUAAAUUCGACUAAGUGUGUUGGAUGAUUAUAUAUAUAUUCGGCUUAUGCAUUGGCAAUAUAUAUAUAUAUAUAUAAGCUUGGGAGAAUGCAUUUGUUCAUAUGUAUUAGAUUUGUAUUGGUUUAAAGUUUAUCAUUAGUAUACAUACACAUUCGGUUAUGAUAGGUGUAUAAUAUAUAUAUAUAUGCUUGAUUAUAUACAUUCGGUUGAAAUGUUGUUUGGUAUAAACAUAUAUUCAAUUGAUUGCAUUCGAUGUAUACAUAUCUGACUAUAAGUAAAAUGGUCUGAGUGCAAUAAUGUAUGAAUGUUAGUUAGUCGUAUUGGUUGAAAUCUCAGUGAAAUAGAUUAAAAGGUUAUUUUAUUUAUAUAUUUAUAUACAUCUAUUUAUGUUGUAGACUUACUAAGCUAUAAAAGCUUACUUUGUUUGUUUUUGUCCAUUUGCUUUUAUAGAUUUUGGAGACGCGUUACGAGCUCGGGGAUCAUCAGCAUAGUCCAUCACACUAUCGACUUCUUUUGGUAUUUUGUUAAAUAUUUGAACUCAAUCUUAUGGCAUGUAUAGGUUUGAGUACGAUGUUAAUUACAUUUUGAUUGUAAAUUAUAAUAGCUAUGCGAAAGUAAUUAAAUUUCCAUGUU
Gossypium raimondii (Peruvian cotton) is the source of this 1949-nucleotide RNA transcript. It is a transcript of the gene named ATP-dependent permease PDR12, with no coding region annotated. The transcript has 7 exons. The record is from RefSeq and is a predicted model, not a curated record. NCBI's taxonomy places the organism in Eukaryota, Viridiplantae, Streptophyta, Magnoliopsida, Malvales, Malvaceae.